AGGCACAGUCAGCAGUAGCACAAACAAACUUUCCUGAGGAAUCUGUAGAGCAUUGUGUUCUUGCCCACAAGCGCCAGACCAUGUUGCAGGGACACUUAGCGAAGGUGAAGCACCUGUUGCCAAUGUGAAGCCAGUUGAAGAUAUAGUCGGACGGCCAGCAGCCGUUAGAGUUCCUGGCCAGACUGUGUAUGGACAGUUGUUUUUGACGACGAAAGUCACAGAUUAAGCUCCUGCAUGCGUGCAAGCUGCGCAAGAUUUAUUUUUGUUGAUAUCACAAUUAAAUCUAACGUCAAAUGAAAAUUGAAAGCAAUUGAAUGCAGGAAGAGGGCCAUACUCACAAGAAAAUUGAUUUACACCAGACAUAAUUAAUAUUUUCUAAGUGUAAAUAUCACCGAUAGAUUUUUUCAUGGAAAUAUGUUGUCAAUAAAUAUCUUGUUAGAAAUCAAUAAAUCGAAUUCAAUUAAUAAUUUAAAUAUCAAUAAAUAGACUGAUAAAAUAUUUAUAUCAAAUACUGUCAAGAAAGAUCAAAUUAUACGGCAAAUUUAACAGUGAAUGAACAAUUUUUUAAUAUAGAUUUCACGACUUAACUCAUCAAUCAAAUGUUAAAAUAUUUGUUUGAGAUUACAAUAACAUUAUAGAAAGUGAAUAAAAAUAAAAUUAUAACCAAACUAUUUCAGAAACAGUAAAAUGAUGAAAGUAAAAUUAAAAAGAUAAAAAAAAAAGAAGGUGAAAUUGAAAAAAAAAUAAAAAAACAAAAAAAAAGGGGAUCCAUCUAAACCCUAACUUUUUAAAAAAUAAAAAUCAAUAAAGUUAAGUUAUUUCCACUAACAUAACUCAAAUCUUUUUUUAUUAAAAUGUUUAGGUUGCGAACAACAUAACCUAUGUAAUUUCUUGAGAUUGCACUGUUUCCAACAACAAAACUUGCAUAUUUAACUUUUUUUAGUUGUAUUGUUGGGAACAAUUAUUAUACUUUAAGCUAAAUUAUGUGAGGAAAGUCCUAUUCAUCAAGACUCAUUACAUUGUGGAUUGGAGCAGUGCUAGUAAAAUUGGAGCAGUGUAAUGACAGAGCUGUCCUUGCCACAGAGAGUUGCAAAAACUGUAGGAGAAGGGUGGGGUUGUCUUUUUAUUAGGAUGCAUUCGGCAUUGAAGAGAUAGUUUGAGAGAAAACGGUCAGUGCAAAUUUUAGUAGGGCAUGAUGGGGCUGCAGACACCUGGCGCUGGGCUGCCAUGCCCUGCCACAGAGAGUUCAUGUAGGGGGUGGGGUUGUACCCCAGGCUGCAGACACUUGGCGUUGGGGCUGCCAUGCCCUAGGUGCUAAGGCCAGACCCGCGCGCCUGACUGCAGACUCAGGCGAGCGGGGCUGUAAGUCCCAGGCUAUAGACACCUGACGUUGGGGCUGCCAUGCCUUGCCAUAGAGAGUUCUAAAGGCUGUAGGGGGUGGGUGUGGUUUUGCCCCAAGCUGAAGACACUUGGUGCUAGGGCUGCCAUGCCCUAGGUGCUAGGGCCAGACCCGCGCACUGGAUCUGCAGAACCAUGCGCCUGGCUGGGUGCAGACCAGCACGCGAGUCUGCAGACCCCAAGCUCGUGGGUCUGUGAUAUGAUCAAAGAGUUGAUGUCUUAUCCCAAGUGCAGGAGUGUCGAAAUAAUAAAUAACCCGGCAAGACCGGGGUCGAACCACAAGAAGGUGAACUAUAUAAAAUUAUAAAUAAAAGAAAAGAUUUGAAGAGAGCUUUGAGAUGUGAGAAUGAUGUAAGGAUUUAAACAAAGAUAAAACAAUUGUCAAGGUUAGAGGAUCCACUAAUGGUAUUUCAAAUAAGUAUAGUAUAAACUCUUUUUAUUACUUGACUGGAAACCACACACAAAGGAGGUUCCACUCGGAUUAUAAAUUGUUAACAUGAUUACAUUAAUUAUCUUAUUCGAGUAAUGCCAAUACUUUUAAAUAUUAUCAGGUAUUCAUGGUGAUAACUUAUGCUAACAACAACUCAAGUUCUUUUUAUAGCACAGGUGUCGGUUAUACCAUACAGUUGGGCUAUGAAAGUGCCAAGUAUUUAUUUUACCAAGGUUUGUUCAACACAAAUCUAGAUUAACCAUUUAACAAGCGAGGUAUUAAGAGUGAGUAAGAUAAUAAAUAUAAAACAUGUUAGUAUCAAACAUUAAAGUUCAUGUUGAGUUUAUACUAUACUUAUUCUUACACCAUUAGUGUAACCUUUUCACCUUGACAUAAUAAACUUAGCUGAACAUUAAGAAUAAGAGAAACAUAGAUAAUAAACAAGAGGAGAACAUGAUUAUAUAAGUAUAAUAAAGGAAAUGAAAUGCAUAAAUAAGAGAUUAAUGAAAGCAAAACUUAAGCAUUGCAAAAAUAUAAAGAGAGAGAGAGAGCAAGAACAUGAUUUUGAUCUGAAAACCAAGAUGUCUAAAUGCAUGGCAAAUGUCUCCUUUUAUAGGCCAAAAUUAAGAACUAUUGAUUUGAUGACUAAUUGUUGAGUGGGUGGCCACCUCUUGACUUGGUAACCAUCCUUAUCUUCUUGUCUGCAGAAAACAUCAUUUUUAACAUCAGACUUUGAACAGAUAGUCUUCAUGAAAGUUCUGGAGAAUUAUCUCAGCUUUCCAACAAAACAAGAAUGAGGUCAUUUGGAUAUCUAGAACUUGAGAUAUGGGUUGAACACUAAACAGUGUCUAGGCUGCAGGACAGAUUCCGACUUCUCUAUUGUUGCUACAAUUUGAACUUGAAAAUGGUCCUUUUGAAUCUUGGACUCUCUUGAAAGUUUUAGGCCUAUGUCUUAGCUUUCUAUCCAUAUAAACCAGACUUAAAUCCAAGUUCUACAGCUCCAGUUCUGAUCCAAUAACCGAAUAGUGUUCCAAUUUGAAUUCAACCAGCAUCUCUUUUCUAAGCUUAGCCCUCUCUUUGUCUUCUCAAUUUCAGUAGUUAAACUCAUCAAUCAAUCCUUUGAUUUAUGUGAUAGGCCUGCAUUUAAAAUGAACAUUUACCAUAAAUUGAAGGUAUCUUAUAUUAUCAUACUUGUUAUUAUAAAACAUGCUCUAGUUAAGGAGUUAUUGAUACUUCAAGUGCAAAAUGAUGAUAUAAAACCUUGAUAAAAAUAUAUUUUUAAGUACUAAUCAUUCUGGCCCUGACACCCAGGGCAUGACAGCCCCAACACUCGGUGUCUUUAGCUUAGGGCACAGACCAGCUCCCCUGGGUCCGAACCCAUUGGUAAUGUAUCCGUGUCCGGACCCAAUUCUCUUGGGUCCCAUGUCAAGUCCCAAUUCUCUUGGGUCCCGCAUCAGAACCCAAGGAUAAUAGGUCCUGCGGAGGACCCGAUUCUCAUGGUCCUACGUCAGAACCCAAUUCUUUUAGGUCCGGUGUUAGGACCCAAGAUUCUAGGGUCUUAGGUUUCUAAAUAUUAUUAUUUGUAUUAUAAAUAUUGUUAUUUUUAUUAUAAUUAAAACUAUUAAUAUUAAAAAUAGUAUUAUUUGUGUUACAAAUAUUAUUAUUUUUAUUAUAAUUAAUAAAUUUGAAAAAAAAUAUUAUCAAUAUUGAAAGAAACCAUAGAUUUGAUUUGAAGGGUAAAAUUAAAAAUUAUUAUUAUUAUUAUUAUUAUUAUUAUUUUUAUUGUUAUUGUUAUUAUUACCAUUAAUAAAUUUUAAAAAAUACUUCAAGACCCAAUUCUCUUGGGUCCUGCGUCAGAACCCAAGGCUAAUGGGUCCUGUGGAGGAUCUAAUUCCCACGGGUCCUGUGUCAAGACCCAAUUCUCCUAGGUUCGGCAUCAGGACCCAAGGCUAAUGGGUCUUGCAUUAGCACCCAAUGCUCUUGGGUCCGGCAUAAAGAUUGAAUUCUCUUGGGUCUGGGGUCAGGACUCAAGGCUAAUGGGUCCUGCGUCGAGUCCCAAUUCUCUUGGGUCUAGUGUCAGGACCCAAGGGUAAUGAAUCCUGCAUCAGGACCUAAGGCUAAUGGGUCCUGCAGAGGACCCAAUUCUCAUGAGUCCUGCGUCAAGACCCAAUUCUGUUGGGUCCGACGUGAGGACCCAAUGUUCUAGGGUCUUAAGUUUCUAAAUAUUAUUAUUUGUAUUAUAAAUAUUGUUAUUUUUUAUUAUAAUUAAAAGUAUUAAUAUAAAAAAUAUUAUUAUUUUCAUUAUAAUUAAAACUAUUAAUAUUAAAAAUAGUAUUAUUUGUGUUACAAAUAUUAUUAUUUUUAUUAUAAAUCAUAGUAUUAAUAUAAAAAAUAUUAUUAUUUGUCUUAUAAAUAUUAUUAUUUUAUUAUUAUUAAAAAUAUUAUUAUUUGUAUUAUAAAUAUUAUUAUUUUUAUUAUAAUUAAUAUAAUUAAUAAAAUAAGUAAUAAAUUUGAAAAAAAUUAUUAUCAAUAUUGAAAAACAACCAUAGAUUUGAUUUGAAGGGUAAAAUUAAAAAUUAUUGUUGUUAUUGUUAUUAUUAAUAAAUUUAAAAAAUACUAUUAUUACUAUUGAACAAAAACCAUAAUUGUUUUUAAAAGAUUAAAAAAAUAAGAAUUUGGACAAACAAGUGAAAUAUUAUUAUUUAUAUUAUAAAUAUUAUUGUUAGGUCUAGCGUUGUAGUCAGACUCAACGCUUUUAAAUUUUAGAUUUUUUUAAUAUUUUAUAUAUAUAAAAAAAAUUAACUCGUGAUAAAGCGCAGCACCUAACUGGUGCAAGCUAGAGAUUGUGUUGUUAUCAUCUGCAUAAUCUUAUAGGUUGCAUUGGGGAACAACGCUACCCAUCAAAUUUUGUUAUUUCUUUGAGACAUUUUAAGGAUAUGCUAGUUUUUAAAACUUAUGUUUUGGAACGUUCUCUUUGAAAAAACUCCAAGUUGUGCUGCUUAAUUAUUUGUUGUCAACUUUGUUAAGAAAUAUAUGGUCUUUCAAAGAGAAUAUAUCUUAUUUAAUGUUAUUGUUUUUAGUUUUCUUUUACACUUCAACUACUUGAAAUAGAAUAGUGUAAUUAUAACAACUCCUUCGUAUAAAGUAAAUGUCUCCUGUUGCAAUACAACUCAAUAAAGAAAAGAUUUCUAUUCUAUUUUCUUUACAUGGUAUCACGGAACAAUACCCUAGCUUUUAUAUUCCUUUCCUUUUUUGCUGAUACUGCUGCUCAUCAUCAUCAUCAUGGAGGAACAAACUUGAAGGAUAAAGUUAGUACAAAGCUUUUUUCUAUCAUUGGAAUGUUUUGUUUGUCAUCUAAGCUUCGUGUGUUUUUUGCAGCUUAGAUUUGAAAACUUCAUAACAUAUUUAUAUACACUAUAACUUUUAUAGAAGUGUUUGGAUGAAAGUUUUGAAUUAAUGGGAUAUCCAAUGUUGUUUACUGAACACACUAGACUUGCUGCUUCUACAAUGGUCCGAAAUAUUGGUGCCAAACAAAUUUCAAAGAUUAGCUUGGAGACUAAUCUCCAGUAGUAUUUACUGCUUGGAGUAUUUGGUUAUUGAGGAACAAAAUUGUUUUUGAAGAGGGAACUAUAAGCUUGUUUGAUUGUUUCUCCACUAUCCUUUAUUGGGUUACUAUUUAGUUGCAUACUCUGGAUUCAAACUUCACUUAUACAGGAAAUGACCUUUUAAGAUCUUCUGAUGACAUCAAAUUAUGAUGUAAUAAUAAAUCUUAGGUAAUCCUUUUGUUUUUGUUGUAGUAGAUUAAUUUUAUUAUUUUUCCUAAAUUUGUUCCUUUUUUUUUUGUUAUGUUUCUAUAUUUUAUCUUGGAUGUUAACACCUUUUUAAUAUACUCUGGAUAAUUAUAUAUAAAAAAAACAAUUCAUAUCCUAAGACCUCACCUAACAGCUUAAGUUUUUGGGUUGAGAUAGUUCUUUGACAUGACAUCAUAGCCUUGAUGACUAAGCGGUCACGAGAUAUGGUAUCGUAGCCUUGAUGACUAAGCGGUCACGAGUUUAAAUCUCACUAUCCCCUAUUUAUUUGAUAAAAAUUAAGCACAAAGUAAUGUGGGCCUGUGCAAGUUUCAAGCCUAAAGGGCUUUCACUUGAGGGGGUGUGUUGGAGAAUAAUAUAAAUCAUAUCCUAGGAACUCACAUAACAGCUUAAGCUAUUGGAUUGAGAUGAUUUUUUGACAAUAUGCAUGUUACCCAUAAACUUGCUCCUCGUGUUAAAUGUUGUGUUUUUCUCGGUUAUCUGGCUGGUUAGAAAGCUUAGAAGCUUUAUGACAUUCAUGCUCAUAAAAUAUUCACCAUCCGCGAUGUUGUUUUCUAUAAAAUCAUUUUUCCUUAUGAGUCCACCUACCUACUUCCACAAAUAACAAUCAUGUACCCCCUUAUGUUGUCACUACUCCUUUUUGACCGAACAUACCCCUAGUGUUCCAUAACCUCUAGACCAACAUUCUAGACAUCCAUAUUUAAUUUUUGAUGCUACUUCUCUACCACCUUUGCGUCAUUCACAAUGUCACUAUGACCUUCUAGUUGCUUUAUGUGAUUAUAUCUGCAACUAAGUUACAUCUCCCAACUAUUUAUCAUCUACAUCAUGCAGUCCCCAAAAUGGUACAUGUUCUCCUCUUAACAAUUUUGUCUCUUAUCAUCGUUACUCACCACAACAUUACUCCUUCACUACUAUGGUCCAUCAAGAUGUUGAGUCAACAUCUUAUACUGAAGCAGCCACUCAUCCCUAUUGGCAGGAGGCAAUGCAAUCUAAAUUGGCUGUUUUGGAGGCCAAUAAUAUUUGUUCCCUCACUUUUUUUCACCUGGUAAGCAACCUAUUGGUUUUCGUUGGGUUUACAAAGUAAAACGACACUUCAAUGGCACUAUUGAGCGUUAUAAAGAUUGUUUGGUAGCAAAAGACUACACUUAAUUGGAAGAUAUUGAUUACCAUGAUACUUUUUCUCUCAUUGCUAAAAUGACUAUUGUUCAUUGUUUACUAGCUUUAGCAGCUGCACAAGAUUGGUCUCUUUAUCAGCUUGAUGUUCACAACGCUUUUUUUCAUGGUGAUCUCCAUGAAGAAAUUUAUAUAUCCCUACCUCCCGGUCUUCAGCGAAAGGGGGAGAACUUGGUGUGUUCCCUUUACAAGUCGUUUUUAUGAUUUAAAACAAGCUUUAUGAUAAUAGUUUUCCAAAUUCUCUACAACUAUUUAAGUAGCUGGUUUUGUUCAAUCCAAGACAAACUACUCUUUAUUCACAUGUCACAAGGCCAAAACAUUUACAACAUUAUUGAUAUACGUUAAUGAUAUCCUUAUUACCGAGAACAAUGUUACUGCUAUACUAGCUCUCAAAUAGUUUUUGAAUACUCAUUUUCUGAUUAAAGAUUCGGGAAAUUUGAGGUACUUUCUGGGCAUCAAAGUUUCGGUCCAAAACAGGUAUUUCCAUUUCACAACAAAAAUAUACUUUAGAAAUUCUAAAGGAUUGUGGUUUUCUAGGUGUCAAGCCGGUAAAUUUUUCAAUGGAGCAAAACUUGAAGCUCUUAUAAUCAAGUGAUCUACUUAAAGAUCCUUUUUAAUAUAAAUGACUUGUUGGUUGCCUAAUUUACUUGACUAUGACCUUGCCAAACAUUACCUUUUUGGUUCAUGUAUUAAGCAGAUUCAUGCAUGCUCCAUGCAAACCACACAUGAAAGUUUUUUUGCGUGUGAUGCGUUACUUGUAAAGCAGUCCAAGACAAGGUUUAUUUUUUCCUACUCAAAAUAACUUGUCUUUGCGAGCUUUUUCUGAUUCAAAUUGGGGUGGAUGUCUGACAUCAUGUAGAUCCAUUACAGGCUAUUGCAUUUUCUUGGGAUCUACCCUUAUUUCUUGGCGGAAAAGGGGUAGAAAACUAUGUCCCUCUCUUUAGUAGAAACCAAACACAGAGUCAUGACAAGUACAUGCUAUGAAUUAUCUUGGCUACGAUCGUUGCUGUUGGACUUGAGAAUAUUACAUCCGAAGCUAGUAUUAUUGUAUUGUGAUCACACAACAACUUUAAACAUAAAACCAGAAUGAUUUUUCAUGAAAGAACUAGACAUAUAGAAAUGAACUGCUAUUUUACUCAUGACAAGAUACAAGAUGGCUCAUUUAAAACACAACAUGUUUAUUUAGUAGAUCAGCUUGCAAAUGUAUUUACAAAACUAUUAGGAAAUGAAGCAUUCUCAACUAUGAUAUACAAGUUGGGCGUUCUUGACUUUCACUCUCCAACUUGAGAGGAAGUGUUAAGAAAUAUAUAGUCAUUCAAAGAAAAUAUAUCACAUUUAAUGUAAUUGUAUUUAGUUUCCUUUUACACUCAGACUACUUAGAAUAAAAUAGUGUAAUUAUAGCAACUCCCUUAUAUAAAGUAAAUGUCUCCUACUGUAAUACAAAAUAAUAGAGAGAAGAUUUCUAUUCUAUUUUCUUUACAAACUUGUCAUAUACUCUUCAAAGGUUUGGCAACGACACACCAUUGCUCAAGGAUUUUCUUUUCUUUUCUUCUUUUUUGAUAACUUUACGAAUGGAAAUUUGAAUUUUGGCCAAUGUGUACAUAUUUAGAGCCAAUUACCUAUGCUACACUAUGAGUGGAAUUCCAAGUUAUCUUUUAAUAUAAAAAAAUGUUUUGGUAUUGUGAAAGUAUUUUCUUGCAUCAUGAAAAAUUUUAAUUGAGAAUUGAAAAAUUAAUGUGUGUUUAAUGAAAUAAAGCAAAAAUUACAUGAACUAUUAAUUAGUAAAAAUAGUUGUUAAUGACAAUUAAAUGCUAAACUAAAAAGUUGAAAGAUAGAUGCAUAUAAUAAUAUUUGAUCUCGUGAUGUGUGACACUUUCAAAUCUUUCUUUUAUUUAAUUAUAUGAAAAUAAAAAUAAAUUUUCAUCACAAAUAUAAAUAUUAAAAUUUUGUUUAAAAAAUGUAAUCAUUUAUAUAAAUCCCCUUUUCUAUGUAGCUAAAGCUUAAGCUCUGCUCACACUGUUCAUGUUUUUUUAUUUAUUAUUAUAUAUCUAUUCUCGAUUUCAUCAAAAAAAAAAACAAAACAAAAAAAAUAUAAAUCCCCUUUUAUUUUAUUAAUGUAUUUAUUAAAAAAAUAAUAUCUUUAUUUAUCUCUAUUGUUUAUUAUUGUUGCACGUGUGCGGUGUCGUGACGAUCAUCCUUCUAGGUCGUGAUAACCAGGAAAGGUGUAGGAGGAAAGGACAAGAAAUUAUUAGGCGUAUUAAGUGCCUUUCUAACUGGUCUCAGAGUUUGGAAAAUGGAUUAAUUGUGUAAAGCAAAGGUGUUAACACCCCUAAUACGCCUUACCUAAGGUAAGCUGCACUAUUUAUUUAUCUCAUAUAAACUAAGAAAAAAAAUGUGUUAUUUAUCUCAUAUAAACUAAGAAAAAAAAUGUGUUAUUUAUCUCAUAUAAACUAAGAAAAAAAAUGUGUUUUCUAACCAUUGGUUUGUUUAAAGUUUAAGAAAAGUUUUUCUUAAUAAGAAGAUCCUUAUCUUAUCAAAUUAAAAAAAACCUAACUGUUCUAAUGCCAACAAAAAUAAACUAUCUUUUCAUUUAAUGCUAGGAAUAUGUCUUACGUAUAAGUUCAUAAUCCUGUAUAUUAAAAGAAACAAAAAUAUAAUUUUGGUAUUUUUGAAAUGUAGGCCAAAUCCUUUGAGAAUUCACAAACUUGUUGUAAAGUGCAUGGAAUAUUUUUUCUUUAAAAAAAUGUCAAAGUAUUUUAGUUUUUUUUAAAUACUUAAAUAACUUUAGGAUUUUUAGCCAUAUGCAAGAAAAAAUAUUAUAUAUAUGUGUGUGUGUGUGUGUGUGUGAGAGAGAGAGAGAGAGAGAGAGAGAGAUAAACACAAAAACUCAAAAUGUUUUAAACAAAACAGAUAAAAAAUAAAAAAUAAAGAACACGAAGAACAUGAAGAACACCCGAAUGAACCUAGCAACGUGAACUCAAAUUCAAACUAGAUUUCAUGAAAUCAAAAGUAUAUAAAGGUUGAAAAUCAUUCAAGGAUCAAGAAUUAAUGGUUCAUUCACUUCGAUUUUCGUUAAAUCAUCACGAUUUGGUUAAAAUAGGUUUCAGUUCAAAACCAAAACUCUAAGAUUAAAAAUCAUUAUAAACAUAUUAUUGGUGCAAAUAAACACUAUAUUAUUGGUUAUUCAUGCAUAAAAAAGGAUUAUGUGCUAAGAAAUGAACCAAACAUGGUCCGAAUCUAGAAGCUAAGACAAUGUUCUUCCUAAGAACAUGAAAAACAUGCCUAGAAAGUCCAUAAAUUUUCCAGCAAAGCUAGCCUCUACCAAGCCUAAACAUUUUGGACUUCUAAAACAUGCCUUUUUAUUUAUUGAAACAAGUCACAAGCUAAGGAUAAACACCCUUGCAUUAAUAUGCAUAAGUUAAACUAAACCAAAGCUUAAAACAACAUUUACAUAUCAAAAGAAAAACUUAAACAGAAACUUUAAUACAUUAAAACAUAAAAAAAACUUUAAAAUAACCACAUUAAACAAAAAUCAAAAUAAAAAUGAGGUGAAUGCAACAUUACUUGUUAAGCAUUCAAACCUCUUUUUAUGCUUCUACACAUAAACAUAAGCAAAAUAAAUAAUACAAAUAACAAAAAUAGGCCACAAAAGACCUACUUUUAAGUCUGCAAUGUAUACCUAGAACAAUCUAUUCUCUCUUGGCUUUUCUUUGAAAAGUUUUGCCUCUCACAAGCUUACAAAGCUUAAGAAAAACUUGGUUUUUACUCUUGGACCUCUAACCUUAUAUUUUUUUACUGUUAUUACUCUCUUUUUUCUUAUCUUUUCUUAUCCUUUUUUUUCUUUCCCUCUUUUCUCUUUCAGCCUUAAGCAUGUUUGAGGGGGUAUAUAUAAGGUUUUAAGAAGUCUUAAAUCCAUUCCUGACCUCUUGAUUUUGAGAGGAGUGUUGUGAACCCUUGAUAAGGACCCAUUGAGAAGUCUUUUUGUGUGAACACAUGAAAACCAAAUCAUUUUUGUAAGAUAGUUAUGUGUUAAGGCUGGCUGAGUUGUCCACUUUCAAGGCUUCGUUGGAGUAAUUCUGACAUCAUCGUCGCUUGAGAUCACCUCAAUCUGGUAGAGGGGGUGCACACCUUUUAUUUGGAUCCAUUCUUACUUAAUUUGGAGGUUUAUAACUUCACAUUCAUUCGUUCAAAGGUUCUAACCUGAUCAGCCUCAAAUCUGAAAAUUGAGUGAUGGUUGAUCGUGGACAAAAUGUUAGGGACUUUCAUGGAAAAAUUGGGAUGCAAAACAUCUAAUUUCAUGGAAAUAGGGUGAUUAGUACUUAAAAGUGUAUUUUAUCAAGGUUUUAUAUCAUCAUAUUGCACUUAAAAUAUCAUUAAAUUCUCUAACUUGAGCAUGAUUUAUAAUAACAAGUUUGAUAACAUAAGAUAUCUUUAAUUUAUGGUAAAUGCUCAUUUUGAAUGCAGGCAUAUCUCACAAUUUAAAGGAUUGAUUGAUGUGUUUAACAAUUGAAAGUGAAAAGACAAAGAGAGGGCUAAGCUUAAAGAAGAGAUGCUUUUUCAAUUCAAACUGGAACAUCAUUUAGUUAUUGGAUCAUAACUAGAACUGUAGAACAUGGAUUUAGGUCUGGUUUAUAUGGAUAGAAAGCUAAGACAUAGACCUAAAACUUUCAUGAAGAGUCUAAGAUUCAAAACAGCCGUUUUCAAGUUCAAAUUGUAGCAACAAAAGAGAAGUCGAAAUCUGUCCUGCAGCCUAGACACUAUUCAGUGUUCAGCCCAUAUCUCGAGUUCUAGAAGUCCAAAUAAGCUCAUUCUUGUUUUAUUGGAAAGCGGAGACAAAUUCCCAGAACUUUCAUGAAGACUAUCUAUUCAAAUUGUGACGUUAGCAAUGCCGUUUGGUUCAGACAAGAAGAUAAUGGUUGUCACCAAGUCAAGAGGUGGCCACCCACUCAAUAAUUAGUCAUCCAAUCAAUAGUUCUGAAUUUUAGCCUACUACUGUAUGGUAUAAUCGACACCUGUGCUAUGAAAGGAACUUGAUUUGUUGUUAACAUAAGUUAACAUCAUGAAUUCCUGACAAUAUUUAAAAGUAUGGUGUUACUAAAAUAAGAUAAUUAAUAUGAUCAUAUUAAAAAUUUAUAAUGAACUAUUAAGGAUAAAUCAUCCGAUUGGAACCUCCUUUGUGUGUGGUUUCUAGUUGAUUAAUAAAAAACAUUUAUACUAUACUUAUUUCUAAUACUAUUAGUGGAUUCUCUAACCUUGACAAUUGCUUUUAUCUUUGAUUAAUACUCACAUCAAUAUCACAUCUCAAAAGUUCUCUUCAACUCUUCAUUUGUUGUUUAUAAUUUUAUAUAGUUCACCUCCCUGUGGUUCGACCCCGGUCUUGCCGGGUUAUUUAUUACUUCGACACUCCUGCAUUUGGGAUAAGAAAUCAAUCUUUUGAUCGUGUCACAAGGUUGUAGAGGAGAUGUUCCUCUUUCAUUUGCAAAAAAUCUCAUGUCAUUUGGAGGUCUAGAACUCUAGAAUGAGCUUUUGGAAGGUGCCAAUAUGAUCAUCAUGAACUUUCAAGGAAGAAAAUGAACAAAGGCUGAAUAACAUGUCGUCUAGGUUAAAACCCUAGAAAUUAUGGUUUUUAAUUUGGGAUUUGAUAAAGUUUCAAUGUAGUCCCUGUUCUUCUAAUUGCAUGUGAUUUAACCCCCACCAAACUAAAAUAUCAGCCUUUAAGUUGGCCGCCUUUUUUAUUUUGAUCCUUGGUUUUUAAUUUGUGCAUUUUGACCCUCAAUUGACCAAUAAACUUUCAAUUUUUUCAAUUUGGCCCCUAAUUUGGUCAAUUUCAGCUCUAUAUUGACACAACUUUUCUAGUUUGAUUCUUGGUUUUGGAUUUUUUCAAUCAAGUCUCUAUUUGUCCAUUAAACUUUAAUAUUUAAGCAAUUAAACCCCUGAUUAGACCAAAUUAACUCCUAAAAAUUGCAAUUCAACUCCCAAACUUUAAUUUCUUCCAAUUAAAACCUUAAUUGACUUCUAAAAUUUUGUUGCUUGCAAUUAAGCUCUCAAUAAAUUCAAAUAAACCUUGAAAAUUUUUAAUUAAGUCUUUAAACAUCCAAUUUUGAAUUUUCUUUGUUAAUAGGGUUUUCAUCAGUCGAAAAUACAUUGUAAUUGUUUUUUAAUCUUGUAUAUUUGAUCUUCCUCAAUCAAUCUUCAGCAAUUUCCUGGGCGUUCUGGUAUACUCUUCUCAUUGAUAUAUCUUUUUUAUUUUCUUCUAUUUUUUUUCGUAUUCUCUUUACCUUUUUUUUGUUUAUACGGGAUCCCAAAAAUGGAUAACAAUAAUUGCAUAAAGAUUAUAAGCAAUUAAAAUCAAUAUAAAAUUUUAAUGAUAAGAAAUAAGUUUUUAAAAGGUAUCUCAUUAAUCAAAACUUCUUUCUCUUAUUAAGGAGUUCCUUUUUGUUUAAAAGAAUAUUUGCUUAUCAUAAGCUUUAUUUGUUUUAUUUAAAUUCUUAUCAAAAUCUUAAAAGAAAUUUUUAAUAAAAUAAAAUAAUAAAAUAAUAAAUUGAUAAUUUUGACACGAAUUUAUUAGAAAAAUAAUGUAACAAUAAUAAUUUUGAAAAAAAUAUUUAAAAACUCACAAUAAAAGUUUUUAAAAAUAAAUAUUUUUUCCAUAUUUAGAAAAUUAUGCAUAUUAAGUUUAUAAAUAACUAUGAAGAAAGAAAUUGUUAAUAUUACUAUGAAAGAUGCUAAUAUUAUUUUAAAAUAAUGGCAUAAUUGAUCAAUUAUUUAAGCAUCAUUUAAAUUAAUUUAUUUUAAAAUAAUUCAAUUACAAAUGUGAAAAGAGAAAAAACAACGAGAUAACAAUAUGAAGGGCCCUAGCCUACAUGAAACACGUGUAUGGACAACAUGUUAUCUGUCUGAUCUAUAUGAAACAUGAGCGCAAUGGGCUUGGAAACCCAAGCCCACACACCUGUUUUUUUUAAUGGGGUGGAUGUCAUCUACAUCAGUUAUUUUUUUUAAAAAAAAAUUAGGGAUUGGCACAUCGCUCACCUGUCGUCUUUUCCAAUCAUCAAUGGUGCUUUCCAUGAUUAGAAAAUCAAGGUAUAAGUUCAUGAAUAUUAGGAAUCUAGAUUUCAACCUAUUUUUUUAUAUAUAUUUAAAAUCAUUAAAAAAAACCCCACAAACCUCUAUAUCCUCAUUUCUAACAACAAAACACACUGAUAUCAUCACUAACCUAAAACCUCAAAAUCAAAUUAAAUAGAAAAACUUUUCAAGUUGUGAUCUACUUUUUACUGCAACCUUAAAGUUACUGCAACCUUACAGAUGAAAACCACCGCCACCAAGUCCCUCUCCUGAGAAUAGAUAUAUGGACACUAAAAUUAAAGUUUUUGCUGGCCAUAAUUCGGUUACCCAAAAGUUUUAUCUGUCUUCAAAAUUUGAAGAGCUUAAAACUUUCCCAUGCAAUAUGGGCACAAUUUUAAUUCCUGACACCUCAGGUACGAGUAAAAACGAAAUUCAAAAGAGGAUAAAAAAUCCUUGAUAGCAAAAAAAAAAAAAAAAAAAAAAACCCCUUCAAGUACAGUUUUACCGUAUCAACAGCAUAAAAAUUGAUAAUCGAUCCUUUAGGGAUAUUAUUCCAUUUCUUUAUUAAUUAUCAUAAAAACAUUUAUUAAAUGUGUUGUCCUCCAACUCUCUUUCCAUGAAAAGAAAGAGUUGUGAACCACCACAUUUGAUCAUGGACAAAAGGUAAUCAAAUAGUUGCCUCCACUAGGACAAGUAAACGUGCUCGUUUUAUCAUCAUAAGCAUAACUAUAAGCUUGAGGACACUGCUUCUUGAAAGUCGUCGAAUAUUGGUUAGCAGGACAUUUGUCAGGUGUAUUAUACUCUCCUGAGCAGCAGUACUGCGGCUGGUUAAAUGCCAAACACGCACUCUUGCAGGCAAUCACAGUCCCAUCUGGCCUUCUCACUGCUAAACUAGGAUCACAAACAGCAUUCACGUCAGAUGCACAGCUUGUAGAACGGCAGCCAGUAGAACCUCCUUGCGGGGCUACCGAAAUUGGGAUGUUAAAGCCAUCAACAAGGCUUAUAUCGUAAAAAUCUUUCCCACCAUCACCUCUUAGAGUGAAUUCUGCCAAGGAUGCUGGUGGGAUCGCACCGGCUCCAUUGCAUUCUAUGACACCAGAGGCACAGUCAGCAGUAGCACAAACAAACUUUCCUGAGGAAUCUGCAGAGCAUUGCGUUCUGGCCCACAAGCGACCAGACCAUGUUGCAGGGACACUUAGCGAAGAUGAAGCACCUGUUGCCAAUGUGAAGCCAGUUGAAGAUAUAGGCGGACGGCCAGCAGCCGUUAGAGUUCCUGGCCAGACUGUGUAUGGACAGUUGUUUUUGACGACGAAAGUCACAGAUUGAGCUCC
Molecule: long non-coding RNA, 15203 nt
Filed under: Populus trichocarpa (black cottonwood)
Lineage: Eukaryota; Viridiplantae; Streptophyta; Magnoliopsida; Malpighiales; Salicaceae
Description: long non-coding RNA (PTRI_LNC000223)
Rfam family: MIR2912 microRNA precursor family (bases 2639-2793)
Source: RNAcentral